This 497-nucleotide ribosomal RNA is filed under the name uncultured bacterium. Its description in RNAcentral is "partial 16S ribosomal RNA". It matches the Rfam family "Bacterial small subunit ribosomal RNA", at positions 28 to 507 of the family's 1533-position model. The record is from RNAcentral.
GAUGAACGCUGGCGGCGUGCCUAAUACAUGCAAGUCGAGCGAACAGACGAGGAGCUUGCUCCUCUGACGUUAGCGGCGGACGGGUGAGUAACACGUGGAUAACCUACCUAUAAGACUGGGAUAACUUCGGGAAACCGGAGCUAAUACUGGAUAAUAUAUUGAACCGCAUGGUUCAAUAGUGAAAGACGGUUUUGCUGUCACUUAUAGAUGGAUCCGCGCCGCAUUAGCUAGUUGGUAAGGUAACAGCUUACCAAGGCAACGAUGCGUAGCCGACCUGAGAGGGUGAUCGGCCACACUGGAACUGAGACACGGUCCAGACUCCUACGGGAGGCAGCAGUAGGGAAUCUUCCGCAAUGGGCGAAAGCCUGACGGAGCAACGCCGCGUGAGUGAUGAAGGUCUUCGGAUCGUAAAACUCUGUUAUUAGGGAAGAACAAAUGUGUAAGUAACUAUGCACGUCUUGACGGUACCUAAUCAGAAAGCCACGGCUAACUACGUG